GAUGAACGCUAGCUACAGGCUUAACACAUGCAAGUUGAGGGGCAGCAUGGUCUUAGCUUGCUAAGACUGAUGGCGACCGGCGCACGGGUGAGUAACACGUAUCCAACCUGCCGUCUACUCUUGGACAGCCUUCUGAAAGGAAGAUUAAUACAAGAUGGCAUCAUGAGUCCGCAUGUUCACAUGAUUAAAGGUAUUCCGGUAGACGAUGGGGAUGCGUUCCAUUAGGUAGUAGGCGGGGUAACGACCCACCUAGCCUACGAUGGAUAGGGGUUCUGAGAGGAAGGUCCCCCACAUUGGAACUGAGACACGGUCCAAACUCCUACGGGAGCAGCAGUGAGGAAUAUUGGUCAAUGGGCGAGAGCCUGAACCAGCCAAGUAGCGUGAAGGAUGACUGCCCUAUGGGUUGUAAACUUCUUUUAUAAAGGAAUAAAGUCGGGUAUGCAUACCCGUUUGCAUGUACUUUAUGAAUAAGGAUCGGCUAACUCCGUG
RNAcentral lists this ribosomal RNA (489 nucleotides) under uncultured bacterium. RNAcentral's name for it is "bacterial SSU rRNA". It matches the Rfam family "Bacterial small subunit ribosomal RNA", at positions 28 to 507 of the family's 1533-position model. The record is from RNAcentral.